CCUACGGGUGGCUGCAGUCGAGAAUCAUUCACAAUGGGGGAAACCCUGAUGGUGCGACGCCGCGUGGGGGAAUGAAGGUCUUCGGAUUGUAAACCCCUGUCAUGUGGGAGCAAAUUAAAAAGAUAGUACCACAAGAGGAAGAGACGGCUAACUCUGUGCCAGCAGCCGCGGUAAUACGGGGGGUGCAAGCGUUGUCCGGAAUCAUUGGGCGUAAAGAGUUCGUAGGUGGCACGUUAAGUCUGGUGUUAAAGGCGGAAGCUCAACUUCCGUAGGGCACUGGAUACUGGCGAGCUUGAAUGCGUUAGAGGUAAAGGGACUUCCUGGUGUAGCG
This 331-nucleotide ribosomal RNA is filed under the name uncultured bacterium. RNAcentral's name for it is "partial 16S ribosomal RNA". It matches the Rfam family "Bacterial small subunit ribosomal RNA", at positions 338 to 680 of the family's 1533-position model. The record is from RNAcentral.